RNAcentral lists this ribosomal RNA (821 nucleotides) under uncultured Alphaproteobacteria bacterium. RNAcentral describes it as "bacterial SSU rRNA". It matches the Rfam family "Bacterial small subunit ribosomal RNA", at positions 28 to 896 of the family's 1533-position model. Lineage: Bacteria; Pseudomonadati; Pseudomonadota; Alphaproteobacteria. The record is from RNAcentral.
AACGAACGCUGGCGGCAGGCCUAACACAUGCAAGUCGAGCGCCCAGCAAUGGGAGCGGCGGACGGGUGAGUAACGCGUGGGAAUUUUUCCUGGAGUACGGAACAACCGAGGGAAACUUCGGCUAAUACCGUAUGAUAUCGAGAGAUCAAAGAUUUAUCGCUCUGGGGUGAGCCCGCGUCAGAUUAGGUAGUUGGUGGGGUAACGGCCUACCAAGCCUGCGAUCUGUGGCUGGUCUGAGAGGACGAUCAGCCACACUGGGACUGAGACACGGCCCAGACUCCUACGGGAGGCAGCAGUGGGGAAUCUUGCGCAAUGGGCGAAAGCCUGACGCAGCCAUGCCGCGUGAGUGAAGAAGGUCUUAGGAUUGUAAAGCUCUUUUGUGCGGGAAGAUAAUGACGGUACCGCAAGAAUAAGCCCCGGCUAACUUCGUGCCAGCAGCCGCGGUAAUACGAAGGGGGCUAGCGUUGCUCGGAAUCACUGGGCGUAAAGGGUGCGUAGGCGGGUCUUUAAGUCAGGGGUGAAAUCCUGGAGCUCAACUCCAGAACUGCCUUUGAUACUGAAGAUCUUGAGUUCGGGAGAGGUGAGUGGAACUGCGAGUGUAGAGGUGAAAUUCGUAGAGAUCGGAAGGAACAUCAGUGGCGAAGGCGGCCACCUGGCCUAAUACUGACGCUGAGGCACGAAAGCGUGGGGAGCAAACAGGAUUAGAUACCCUGGUAGUCCACGCUGUAAACGAUGUCAACUAGCUGUUGGUCACAUUGAUGUGAUUAGUAGCGCAGCAAACGCGAUAAGUUGACCGCCUGGGGAGUACGGUCGCAAGAUUA